Molecule: ribosomal RNA, 419 nt
Filed under: bacterium
Lineage: Bacteria
Description: partial 16S ribosomal RNA
Rfam family: Bacterial small subunit ribosomal RNA
Source: RNAcentral
UGGGGGAUAUUGCACAAUGGGCGAAAGCCUGAUGCAGCGACGCCGCGUGGGGGAUGAAGGCCUUCGGGUUGUAAACUUCUUUUGCUCUGAACAAGGCAUGCUAAUGGGUGUGUUGAGUGUAGGGGUUGAUUAGCGCCGGCUAACUACGUGCCAGCAGCCGCGGUAAUACGUAGGGCGCGAGCGUUUUCCGGAAUUAUUGGGCGUAAAGGGCUUGUAGGUGGCUGGUUGCGUCUGUCGUGAAAGCUCAUGGCUUAACUGUGGGUUUGCGGUGGGUACGGGCUGGCUUGAGUGCAGUAGGGGAGGCUGGAAUUCCUGGUGUAGCGGUGGAAUGCGCAGAUAUCAGGAGGAAUACCGGUGGCGAAGGCGGGUCUCUGGGCUGUUACUGACACUGAGGAGCGAAAGCAUGGGGAGCGAACAGG